RNAcentral lists this ribosomal RNA (2825 nucleotides) under Klebsiella pneumoniae. Its description in RNAcentral is "bacterial LSU rRNA". It matches the Rfam family "Bacterial large subunit ribosomal RNA". The record is from RNAcentral. Lineage: Bacteria; Pseudomonadati; Pseudomonadota; Gammaproteobacteria; Enterobacterales; Enterobacteriaceae. RNAcentral also lists the same sequence under 1 other name.
GGGUUGUGAGGUUAAGCGACUAAGCGUACACGGUGGAUGCCCUGGCAGUCAGAGGCGAUGAAGGACGUGCUAAUCUGCGAAAAGCGUCGGUAAGGUGAUAUGAACCGUUAUAACCGGCGAUGUCCGAAUGGGGAAACCCAGUGCAAUUCGUUGCACUAUCGUUAACUGAAUACAUAGGUUAACGAGGCGAACCGGGGGAACUGAAACAUCUAAGUACCCCGAGGAAAAGAAAUCAACCGAGAUUCCCCCAGUAGCGGCGAGCGAACGGGGAGCAGCCCAGAGUCUGAAUCAGCUUGUGUGUUAGUGGAACGGUCUGGAAAGUCCGACGGUACAGGGUGAUAGUCCCGUACACCAAAAUGCACAGGCUGUGAACUCGAAGAGUAGGGCGGGACACGUGGUAUCCUGUCUGAAUAUGGGGGGACCAUCCUCCAAGGCUAAAUACUCCUGACUGACCGAUAGUGAACCAGUACCGUGAGGGAAAGGCGAAAAGAACCCCGGCGAGGGGAGUGAAAAAGAACCUGAAACCGUGUACGUACAAGCAGUGGGAGCACCUUCGGGUGUGACUGCGUACCUUUUGUAUAAUGGGUCAGCGACUUAUAUUCUGUAGCAAGGUUAACCGUAUAGGGGAGCCGCAGGGAAACCGAGUCUUAACUGGGCGUUAAGUUGCAGGGUAUAGACCCGAAACCCGGUGAUCUAGCCAUGGGCAGGUUGAAGGUUGGGUAACACUAACUGGAGGACCGAACCGACUAAUGUUGAAAAAUUAGCGGAUGACUUGUGGCUGGGGGUGAAAGGCCAAUCAAACCGGGAGAUAGCUGGUUCUCCCCGAAAGCUAUUUAGGUAGCGCCUCGUGAACUCAUCUUCGGGGGUAGAGCACUGUUUCGGCUAGGGGGUCAUCCCGACUUACCAACCCGAUGCAAACUACGAAUACCGAAGAAUGUUAUCACGGGAGACACACGGCGGGUGCUAACGUCCGUCGUGAAGAGGGAAACAACCCAGACCGCCAGCUAAGGUCCCAAAGUCAUGGUUAAGUGGGAAACGAUGUGGGAAGGCACAGACAGCCAGGAUGUUGGCUUAGAAGCAGCCAUCAUUUAAAGAAAGCGUAAUAGCUCACUGGUCGAGUCGGCCUGCGCGGAAGAUGUAACGGGGCUAAACCAUGCACCGAAGCUGCGGCAGCGACACUAUGUGUUGUUGGGUAGGGGAGCGUUCUGUAAGCCUGCGAAGGUGACCUGUGAGGGUUGCUGGAGGUAUCAGAAGUGCGAAUGCUGACAUAAGUAACGAUAAAGCGGGUGAAAAGCCCGCUCGCCGGAAGACCAAGGGUUCCUGUCCAACGUUAAUCGGGGCAGGGUGAGUCGACCCCUAAGGCGAGGCCGAAAGGCGUAGUCGAUGGGAAACAGGUUAAUAUUCCUGUACUUGGUGUUACUGCGAAGGGGGGACGGAGAAGGCUAUGUUAGCCGGGCGACGGUUGUCCCGGUUUAAGCAUGUAGGCUGGUUGUCCAGGCAAAUCCGGAUAAUCAAGGCUGAGGUGUGAUGACGAGGCACUACGGUGCUGAAGUAACAAAUGCCCUGCUUCCAGGAAAAGCCUCUAAGCAUCAGGUAACAUCAAAUCGUACCCCAAACCGACACAGGUGGUCAGGUAGAGAAUACCAAGGCGCUUGAGAGAACUCGGGUGAAGGAACUAGGCAAAAUGGUGCCGUAACUUCGGGAGAAGGCACGCUGGUGUGUAGGUGAAGUCCCUGCGGAUGGAGCUGAGACCAGUCGAAGAUACCAGCUGGCUGCAACUGUUUAUUAAAAACACAGCACUGUGCAAACACGAAAGUGGACGUAUACGGUGUGACGCCUGCCCGGUGCCGGAAGGUUAAUUGAUGGGGUUAUCCGUAAGGAGAAGCUCUUGAUCGAAGCCCCGGUAAACGGCGGCCGUAACUAUAACGGUCCUAAGGUAGCGAAAUUCCUUGUCGGGUAAGUUCCGACCUGCACGAAUGGCGUAAUGAUGGCCAGGCUGUCUCCACCCGAGACUCAGUGAAAUUGAACUCGCUGUGAAGAUGCAGUGUACCCGCGGCAAGACGGAAAGACCCCGUGAACCUUUACUAUAGCUUGACACUGAACAUUGAGCCUUGAUGUGUAGGAUAGGUGGGAGGCUUUGAAGCGUGGACGCCAGUCUGCGUGGAGCCAACCUUGAAAUACCACCCUUUAAUGUUUGAUGUUCUAACGUUGGCCCCUGACCGGGGUUGCGGACAGUGUCUGGUGGGUAGUUUGACUGGGGCGGUCUCCUCCCAAAGCGUAACGGAGGAGCACGAAGGUUAGCUAAUCCUGGUCGGACAUCAGGAGGUUAGUGCAAUGGCAUAAGCUAGCUUGACUGCGAGCGUGACGGCGCGAGCAGGUGCGAAAGCAGGUCAUAGUGAUCCGGUGGUUCUGAAUGGAAGGGCCAUCGCUCAACGGAUAAAAGGUACUCCGGGGAUAACAGGCUGAUACCGCCCAAGAGUUCAUAUCGACGGCGGUGUUUGGCACCUCGAUGUCGGCUCAUCACAUCCUGGGGCUGAAGUAGGUCCCAAGGGUAUGGCUGUUCGCCAUUUAAAGUGGUACGCGAGCUGGGUUUAGAACGUCGUGAGACAGUUCGGUCCCUAUCUGCCGUGGGCGCUGGAGAAUUGAGGGGGGCUGCUCCUAGUACGAGAGGACCGGAGUGGACGCAUCACUGGUGUUCGGGUUGUCAUGCCAAUGGCACUGCCCGGUAGCUAAAUGCGGAAGAGAUAAGUGCUGAAAGCAUCUAAGCACGAAACUUGCCCCGAGAUGAGUUCUCCCUGAGACUUUAAGUCUCCUGAAGGAACGUU